RNAcentral lists this non-coding RNA (200 nucleotides) under Clostridium autoethanogenum. RNAcentral's name for it is "T-box sequence". It matches the Rfam family "T-box leader". Rfam says of the family: Uncharged tRNA acts as the effector for transcription antitermination of genes in the T-box leader family. T-boxes are found upstream of many aminoacyl-tRNA synthetase genes and some amino acid biosynthetic genes usually in Gram-positive bacteria. Lineage: Bacteria; Bacillati; Bacillota; Clostridia; Eubacteriales; Clostridiaceae. The record is from RNAcentral.
AUAAAAGCAAUGACAGGACUAGUAGAUAUGUUAAAUAUUUUAAAGAGAGUGGGGUAAGGUGAAAUCUCAUAAAUAUACAUAUCUAAGAUCAUCCUGGAGCUGUAGGCUGAAUAUAUUGUAAGCUGAUCCGGCUUGUAUAGGCCGUUAUAUGAAUCAAGUAAAAAUUGGGUGGUACCGCGACAGACUUUUUCGCCCCAGCG